This is a long non-coding RNA of Corvus hawaiiensis (hawaiian crow), 3153 nucleotides long. RefSeq lists it as uncharacterized. NCBI's taxonomy places the organism in Eukaryota, Metazoa, Chordata, Aves, Passeriformes, Corvidae. The record is from RefSeq and is a predicted model, not a curated record. The transcript has 2 exons.
UAUGUUAGCGGCUGCGCAAGACAGCAUGGCGUUCCCUGUUUUAUUUGUCCCGAAUCCACAAGGGGGCGGCAAUGUUGCGCAGGUGACUAACCUUGAUUGGAAGCUGUUAGCGCAGCUAAGAGCAACGGUGGGGAAUUACGGUGUCACCAGUGAACCAGUUAAACAGAUGCUUGAUUAUAUUUUUAACGCUUUUACCCUUCUUCCUGCUGACAUUAAAGGCAUUACUAAGCUCACGUAUACCUCGCAUCAGCGACUGCUUUUUGAGGCUCGCUGGAGGGAGGAAGCCGCUAUUACUGCUGCUGUCCCCAGGCCAGCGGCAGAUCCCUUGACAGGUGUUACAGUAGCUGAGCUCAUGGGUGAAGGGGAUCACAUGAGAGUAGAAGCUCAAGCGGCACUAGGACCUGCCAAGCUACGGGAAGCUAUGGCAGUUGCUAAGAAAGCCAUGGAUAAGGUCCGAGCCCCAGGUGGAAUCCCAAUGUAUAUGAGCAUUAAACAAGGCAGAGAGGAGUCUCUAGGCUCUUUUGUUGACAAAGUUAUGGAAGCUAUUUCAAAAGCUGGGGUUCAAGAGCAUAUGCAUGACCCGUUGCUUAAACAAUGCCUUUUACAAAAUGGCAAUCAGGCCACCCAUGCCCUUAUUACUUCCACUCCAGGGGAUUGGACUGUCCAGCAACUUUUAGAAAAAGCUGCGACCAUGCCCACUGGCUCGCAACUAUUCUUAGUACAAGCCUUAGAAAAAUUAGGUGAAGGGCUUAAAGAACAGGCUAUCAGCUCUCAAAAUCAGGUUAUGGCAGCCCUUGCUCCUCUCCAAGCGGCAGCAGCACGUCCCCGCCCAGCUCCAGGUGACCGCAUGAAGUGUUAGCGCUGCGAGACACCCGGUCACAUUCGUCGAAUUCGUUGGAAUUUAUGGGGGCGCUACAACCUGGUCUCCCCAAUCCGGCUAUGUUGCCCCAAAACUGGCCUCUUUUAAUUAUAGAUCUCAAGGACUGCUUUUUCACUAUUCCAUUGCAUCCAGAUGACACCAAGCGCUUCGCCUUUACCUUACCUGCCCUGAAUAAAGGAGAACCAGCUAGGCGAUUUGAAUGGACUGUAUUGCCACAAGGGAUGAAAAACUCACCUACUUUGUGCCAACUGUCCCCUAUGGGUUCCAGCCAAAUGGACUAAGCCUGUUGUCACUGAUGAGCAACCCACAACAGAGGAAGGCAAGGAGAGUACAGAGGAAGAUCUCACAAAUCCUGCAGGAAGUUGAGCAACGGUUUCGCGUUACCUUCCUUGUGGAAUCUGAACAGGAGAUAGAAGAUCAUCUCCUUCCACAUCUGCAGAGACACUUUAUACGCUUUUGCCAAUCUGCUUGCUUUGCAUGUAAUUGUAGUAAUCAUAAGGCGUGGGUAAGAUUGUUUUGCGGAGGUUGUAAUUUACAGUGGUGGGUCCACCAGCGACAUCUAUCAGAAGGGUUUUGGUGUCAGUCUUGCAGUUUUCACUGGCACCGUGAGACGGCUCAAGGAGCAUUGGUACAACUCACAGGCAAAAAUAUCAUUGACAGUUUGCAAUUAGUUGAAAAUCUUGAGGAUCUGAGACUGCGAGAACUUGCGUGGUCGGUACAGCAUUUAGCAAAAAAGAUCCUAGCAGAUAGUUACUCUGUAGUUUUGCAAUCCUCCUGCCAAUUAAAUAUUGGGGUCCCCAUUCAGUGGCAAGUUGAACCAAGAAAGUGGGAUCAUGUUUGCCGGCGGUUUAAGCAUCGUGCUGCUAAUCGCAGGCUCAGUAAUGGGUCACAACCUUCCCUACCCUCCUAAGGUGUUUGACCCUAGAGAUAAUAUCUGGGUCUCCUUGGCACGCGAAUUAAACACCACAACAUUCUGUGCCUCCUUAGCCACACCCAGUACUCCAUUUUUGACAUGCUUAGUUGGAGUACCAUUAACAGAUAAUACAUGGCGCAACUUUGUAAUCGAGACCCAGAAGCAGCUCAAACCUAUUUGGCAGUUGAAUUCCACAAAAAAUAUUACUCAUGGCCUACUAGACUAUGAUAUCUGGGAUGAUAGACUCCCGGUGGGCCCUGAGCCAAAAGAAAUAGAACUAGUUGAUUCCCUUAACGCUACAGCCUGUAUCUAUAUUAAUAGUUCACGCAAUUUAUGCCAAGAGGGCAGCCUUGGUGGCUGUCAAAUGAAUACAUCCAACCCCACCUGGAUUAAUCCUGCUGGCAAUGUUUCACAGUGGGACUUAGAAUGGUGCAACGUUACCGUGAGAAAUCGAUCUCUUGCAGCCCCUGGAACGUUUUUCCCUCGAAAGUUACCCAGAGGGUUUUUCCUAAUUUGUGGGAAUCGUGCCUGGUCAGGUAUCCCAUCCAAGCCUAUAGGCGGGCCCUGUACCUUUGGCCAACUGAGUCUUGCACUUCCACAGCACCAUCCUAAUGCUACACACCGAAUACGAUGGAAGAGGUCUUUAGCAGAAACUAUAACAUCUGAUUGUGAGGAUGACCUCACGCUGUGGAGCAAAUUAGAAGUGCUUUUUACCUCCCUUUUUGUUCCUGGUGCAGCUGCGGCAUGAGCCCAUUGUCACUUAGAAAAACUGACAUGUUGGGUAGUUAAACAAGCAAACGGUACCAGCCGAGUGUUGUCUGAACUUGCAGAAGACCUGAGUUCAGUCCAACACGCCCUGCUUCAAAAUAGAGCGGCUAUAGAUUUUUUACUCUUAGCCCACGGCCAUGGCUGUGAAGACUUUGAAGGAAUGUGCUGCAUGGAUCUUGAGGAUCAUUCUAAGUCCAUCCACGCCGAAAUUAAGAAUUUGAUUGAACACUCCCAAAAGAUAAAAAAGGACUCCGGAUUUUUCAGAUUAGAAGGACUUACAGAGUGGAUGGGCUUAGAAGGAUGGAUGAAAAGUGUGAUCAAAUCUUUAAUGCUAUUGCUAAUUAUUGUUUUUCUUGGUUUACUUAUGCUUAGCUGUAUAACGUCAUGUGUAAAAAAUUUAAUUUUGAAGUCAGUCAAUAUGACUAUGAUCAUGCAAAAAGAAAACGGGGGAAGUGUUGAGAGUCUUUCUGAAGAAUGGCUAAAAAGCAAAGGUCAUGAUGACACAGUAGGAUUGAUAAAGAUGCAGACUUGGCAAGGAUACUAAAUCCUUGUGCAAGGAGUUGUAUAAACAACAGGAUGUGAGUCCAGAUAA